RNAcentral lists this ribosomal RNA (373 nucleotides) under uncultured bacterium. RNAcentral's name for it is "bacterial SSU rRNA". It matches the Rfam family "Bacterial small subunit ribosomal RNA", at positions 527 to 898 of the family's 1533-position model. The record is from RNAcentral.
GUAGGGGGCUAGCGUUGUCCGGAUUUAUUGGGCGUAAAGAGCGUGUAGGCGGCUAGGUAGGUCCGUUGUGAAAACUCGAGGCUCAACCUCGAGACGUCGAUGGAAACCAUCUAGCUAGAGUCCGGAAGAGGAGAGUGGAAUUCCUGGUGUAGCGGUGAAAUGCGCAGAUAUCAGGAAGAACACCCGUGGCGAAGGCGGCUCUCUGGUACGUGACUGACGCUGAGACGCGAAAGCGUGGGGAGCGAACAGGAUUAGAUACCCUGGUAGUCCACGCCGUAAACGAUGGGUGCUAGGUGUGGGCGGUGUCGACUCCGUCCGUGCCGAAGCUAACGCAUUAAGCACCCCGCCUGGGGAGUACGGCCGCAAGGCUAAA